GAGCCGUGGCACUGUCAAGUCAUCAGACGCGGUGAUUGCGAGGCCUGUGGGAAAGUACAAAAGCCUGGGCUAGAUUACCCCUCUCAUCGAGCCCGCCUGUGUGGCACCUGUUUCUUAUCACCCCACUAAGUUCCCGCUUCACAGGGUAGUCUGCCUACCUAUUAAUCCUAUAUAUAGCCAGUGCCUCCACCCCCGAGAGAGAGAGAGACUGAAGCACAAAAGGGGCCGCGGGGAGCGGACCGGUAGAGGCUUCGGGGCAGACUGAAGCACGGAAGGAGCCGCAGAGAGUGGACCGGUAGAGGCUUCGGGGCAGACUGUAUAAGGAGAGAAUAAAGAAAAGCCUGACCACCGCCAGACCUUGUCGUGUGUCUUUCCUGCUGGCCGGGAGCGGACAUCGACAUUUGGAGGCCCGCACGGGGAUUGAUCAACCCCGAGACGCGGCGGUGGACUGCAUUCUCCUACACAGUGCUGCAGCUGCAGGACAGGAAUCGGGACGAGAACCAAUGUGGGUCCCAGAGAGGUUGACGCGACAAGUCCCUCGACUGAAGAUCAGGCCUGUUCCACCAGAGGCCAACCACAGACCCAACAACAAGAUGAGCCCUAAAAGAACUGCAGGACAAUCCCUUUUUGGGGGCCUGGAACGGCUUGCUCCCCUAUGUGCUACCCUUGUAUACGCAUGGCUCGCUCGCAUGGCCUACGACUGCGUUUAAAAGUGACAGGCUUCCCACAUUCUCCUCCCUAGACAACAACAUGUAGCAGGGUGGGUGAGUCAAUGACGGGUAAGAGCGUGCCUCCCCAGCACGACUCAACCUAAGCCAGGCCCUACCCCGUUCCGCUCGAAAGCCGCUGGAUUGUUAGAUAAAUUUCUCUCCGAGGGUUUUCGUGGAGAGAAAUGAGUGCAUGCCUAUGUGCAACCAGGUUCCGUCCGGUUCAUUCCUGGCCCUAGAAAAAAGGACGAGGGCCUCAGGGCCUUGGUGGACCCUGGGACGGCCGACCAGGGUCUACGCUAAGGGCCUACGGUGGGCCUCAGUUCGGGGCAUAGGCCUCUGCACUCUAUCCAGGACGGGCUGCGAUGUGCGUAGCCAUCAUUUAAAAUAAAAUAGGGGGAGAUGUUGGGAGCCGUGGCACUGUCAAGUCAUCAGACGCGGUGAUUGCGAGGCCUGUGGGAAAGUACAAAAUCCUGGGCUAGAUUAUCCCUCUCAUCGAGCCCGCCUGUGUGGCACCUGUUUCUUAUCACCCCACUAAGUUCCCGCCUCACAGGGUAGUCUGCCUAGCUAUUAAUCCUAUAUAUAGCCAGUGCCUCCACCCCCGAGAGAGAGAGAGACUGAAGCACAAAAGGGGCCGCGGGGAGCGGACCGGUAGAGGCUUCGGGGCAGACUGAAGCACGGAAGGAGCCGCGGAGAGCGGACCGGUAGAGGCUUCGGGGCAGACUGUAUAAGGAGAGAAUAAAGAAAAGCCUGACCACCGCCA
Molecule: long non-coding RNA, 1470 nt
Organism: Cavia porcellus (domestic guinea pig)
Lineage: Eukaryota; Metazoa; Chordata; Mammalia; Rodentia; Caviidae
Exons: 2
Source: RefSeq, a predicted model, not a curated record